RNAcentral lists this ribosomal RNA (584 nucleotides) under uncultured bacterium. RNAcentral describes it as "partial 16S ribosomal RNA". It matches the Rfam family "Bacterial small subunit ribosomal RNA", at positions 355 to 935 of the family's 1533-position model. The record is from RNAcentral.
UGGGGAAUAUUGGACAAUGGGCGAAAGCCUGAUCCAGCCAUGCCGCGUGUGUGAAGAAGGCCUUUUGGUUGUAAAGCACUUUAAGCGAGGAGAAGGCUACCGAGAUUAAUACUCUUGGAUAGUGGACGUUACUCGCAGAAUAAGCACCGGCUAACUCUGUGCCAGCAGCCGCGGUAAUACAGAGGGUGCGAGCGUUAAUCGGAUUUACUGGGCGUAAAGCGUGCGUAGGCGGCUUUUAAGUCGGAUGUGAAAUCCCUGAGCUUAACUUAGGAAUUGCAUUCGAUACUGGGAAGCUAGAGUAUGGGAGAGGAUGGUAGAAUUCCAGGUGUAGCGGUGAAAUGCGUAGAGAUCUGGAGGAAUACCGAUGGCGAAGGCAGCCAUCUGGCCUAAUACUGACGCUGAGGUACGAAAGCAUGGGGAGCAAACAGGAUUAGAUACCCUGGUAGUCCAUGCCGUAAACGAUGUCUACUAGCCGUUGGGGCCUUUGAGGCUUAGUGGCGCAGCUGAACGCGAUAAGUAGACCGCCUGGGGAGUACGGUCGCAAGACUAAAACUCAAAUGGAAUUGACGGGGUCAUAGCUGUUU